RNAcentral lists this ribosomal RNA (497 nucleotides) under uncultured bacterium. RNAcentral describes it as "partial 16S ribosomal RNA". It matches the Rfam family "Bacterial small subunit ribosomal RNA", at positions 28 to 507 of the family's 1533-position model. The record is from RNAcentral.
GACGAACGCUGGCGGCGUGCCUAAUACAUGCAAGUUGAGCGCUGAAGGUUGGUACUUGUACCGACUGGAUGAGCAGCGAACGGGUGAGUAACGCGUGGGGAAUCUGCCUUUGAGCGGGGGACAACAUUUGGAAACGAAUGCUAAUACCACAUAAAAACUUUAAACACAAGUUUUAAGUUUGAAAGAUGCAAUUGCAUCACUCAAAGAUGAUCCCGCGUUGUAUUAGCUAGUUGGUGAGGUAAAGGCUCACCAAGGCGAUGAUACAUAGCCGACCUGAGAGGGUGAUCGGCCACAUUGGGACUGGGACACGGCCCAAACUCCUACGGGAGGCAGCAGUAGGGAAUCUUCGGCAAUGGACGAAAGUCUGACCGAGCAACGCCGCGUGAGUGAAGAAGGUUUUCGGAUCGUAAAACUCUGUUGGUAGAGAAGAACGUUGGUGAGAGUGGAAAGCUCAUCAAGUGACGGUAACUACCCAGAAAGGGACGGCUAACUACGCG